RNAcentral lists this ribosomal RNA (909 nucleotides) under Camposporium pellucidum. Its description in RNAcentral is "LSU rRNA". It matches the Rfam family "Eukaryotic large subunit ribosomal RNA", at positions 38 to 966 of the family's 3401-position model. The record is from RNAcentral. Lineage: Eukaryota; Fungi; Ascomycota; Dothideomycetes; Pleosporales; Melanommataceae.
GCAUAUCAAUAAGCGGAGGAAAAGAAACCAACAGGGAUUGCCUCAGUAACGGCGAGUGAAGCGGCAAUAGCUCAAAUUUGAAAUCUGGCUCUUUCAGGGUCCGAGUUGUAAUUUGCAGAGGGCGCUUUGGCGUCGGCAGCGGCCUAAGUUCCUUGGAACAGGUCAUCAUAGAGGGUGAGAAUCCCGUAUGUGGCUGACUGUCUUCACCGUGUAAAGCCCCUUCGACGAGUCGAGUUGUUUGGGAAUGCAGCUCUAAAUGGGAGGUAAAUUUCUUCUAAAGCUAAAUAUUGGCCAGAGACCGAUAGCGCACAAGUAGAGUGAUCGAAAGAUGAAAAGCACUUUGGAAAGAGAGUCAAAAAGCACGUGAAAUUGUUGAAAGGGAAGCGCUUGCAGCCAGACGUGCCCGUAGUUGCUCAUCUGGGGUUCUCCCCAGUGCACUCUUCUAUGGGCAGGCCAGCAUCAGUCCGGGCGGUUGGAGAAAGACCUGUGUCAUGUAGCUGUUCUCGGGCAGUGUUAUAGGGCAGGUGGAAUGCAACCAGCCUGGACUGAGGUCCGCGCAUCUGCUAGGAUGCUGGCGUAAUGGCUGUAAGCGGCCCGUCUUGAAACACGGACCAAGGAGUCUAACAUCUAUGCGAGUGUUUGGGUGUAAAGCCCGAGCGCGUAAUGAAAGUGAACGGAGGUGGGAACCUUAGGGUGCACCAUCGACCGAUCCUGAUGUCUUCGGAUGGAUUUGAGUAAGAGCAUAGCUGUUGGGACCCGAAAGAUGGUGAACUAUGCCUGAAUAGGGUGAAGCCAGAGGAAAACUCUGGUGGAGGCUCGCAGCGGUUCUGACGUGCAAAUCGAUCGUCAAAUUUGGGCAUAGGGGCGAAAGACUAAUCGAACUAUCUAGUAGCUGGGUUCCUGCCGAAG